Molecule: ribosomal RNA, 471 nt
Filed under: uncultured bacterium
Lineage: Bacteria
Description: bacterial SSU rRNA
Rfam family: Bacterial small subunit ribosomal RNA
Source: RNAcentral
GGAUAGAACGCUAGCGGCAGGCUUAAUACAUGACAAGUCGAAGGGGGUAGCAAUACAACCGGCGCACGGGUGAGUAACGCGUACACAACAUACCAUAUACUGGGGUAUAGCUUCGGGAAACUGAAGGUAAUCCCCCAUAAUAUUGUGGGAAGGCAUCUUUCUGCAAUUAAAGUUUCGACGGUAUAUGAUUGGUGUGCGUUUGAUUAGCUAGUUGGUAGGGUAACGGCCUACCAAGGCGACGAUCAAUAGCUGGCGUGAGAGCGCGACCAGCCACACUGGAACUGAGACACGGUCCAGACUCCUACGGGAGGCAGCAGUAGGGAAUAUUGGGCAAUGGAGGCAACUCUGACCCAGCCAUCCCGCGUGCAGGAAUAAGGCCCUAUGGGUUGUAAACUGCUUUUAUUAGGGAAGAAAAACUCCGAUUCAUCGGAGCUUGACGGUACCUAACGAAUAGCACCGGCUAACUCCGUG